GUGCUCACUUUGGCAGCACAUAUACUAAAAUUGGAACUAUACAGAGAAGAUUGUCAGGGCAUGAAUGACACAUAGAUUCAUAAAGGGAAGUCCUCCAUAUUUUU
Molecule: small nuclear RNA, 104 nt
Organism: Castor canadensis (American beaver)
Lineage: Eukaryota; Metazoa; Chordata; Mammalia; Rodentia; Castoridae
Source: Ensembl